CAACCUCAACUCAUAUGGGACUACCCCCUGAAUUUAAGCAUAUUAAUUAGGGGAGGAAAAGAAACUAACAAGGAUUUUCUUAGUAGCGGCGAGCGAAAAGAAAACAGUUCAGCACUAAGUCACUUUGUCUAUAUGGCAAAUGUGAGAUGCAGUGUAUGGAGCGUCAAUAUUCUAGUAUGAGAAAUUAAUGAUUUAAGUCCUUCUUAAAUGAGGGCCAUUUACCCAUAGAGGGUGCCAGGCCCGUAUAACGUUAAUGAUUGCUAGAUGAUGUUUCCAAAGAGUCGUGUUGCUUGAUAGUGCAGCACUAAGUGGGUGGUAAACUCCAUCUAAAACUAAAUAUAACCCAUGAGACCGAUAGUAAACAAGUACCGUGAGGGAAAGUUGAAAAGAACUCUGGAAUAGAGAGUUAAACAGUACGUGAAAACUGCUUAGAGGUUAAGCCCGAUGAACCUGGAAUAUUCCGUUUAUGGAAAAUU
This 476-nucleotide non-coding RNA is filed under the name Drosophila sechellia. RNAcentral's name for it is "Eukaryotic large subunit ribosomal RNA". It matches the Rfam family "Eukaryotic large subunit ribosomal RNA", at positions 1 to 455 of the family's 3401-position model. Lineage: Eukaryota; Metazoa; Arthropoda; Insecta; Diptera; Drosophilidae. The record is from Rfam by way of RNAcentral.